This 467-nucleotide ribosomal RNA is filed under the name uncultured bacterium. RNAcentral describes it as "partial 16S ribosomal RNA". It matches the Rfam family "Bacterial small subunit ribosomal RNA", at positions 28 to 506 of the family's 1533-position model. The record is from RNAcentral.
GACGAACGCUGGCGGCGUGCUUAACACAUGCAAGUCGAACGGAAAGGCCCUGCUUUUGUGGGGUGCUCGAGUGGCGAACGGGUGAGUAACACGUGAGUAACCUGCCCUUGACUGUGGGAUAACUUCAGGAAACUGGGGCUAAUACCGGAUAGGAGCUCUUGCUGCAUGGUGGGGGUGGGAAAGUUUCGGCGGUUGGGGAUGGACUCGCGGCUCAUCAGCUUGUUGGUGGGGUAGUGGCUUACCAAGGCCUUGACGGGUAGCCGGCCUGUGAGGGAGACCGGCCACAUUCGCUGGGAGUGACAGCCCAGACUCCUUCGUACGGGAGGCAUGAGUAGGGUUUCUUGGUGGGCGGGCGCCUGCCGGAGCAACGCCGCGUGCGGGAUGGCGGCCUUCGUGUUGUAUGCAACUUUCGCCUGUGACGGAGCGUGAUGGCCGUAACUGGAGAAAGAACUCCCGGCAACCUCCUU